Molecule: ribosomal RNA, 253 nt
Filed under: uncultured bacterium
Lineage: Bacteria
Description: partial 16S ribosomal RNA
Rfam family: Bacterial small subunit ribosomal RNA
Source: RNAcentral
AACGUAGGGGACAAGCGUUAUCCGGAUUUACUGGGCGUAAAGCGCAUGUAGGUGGCCUUUCAAGUUGGACGUGAAAGCUCCCGGCUUAACUGGGAGAGGUCGUUCAAAACUGGGGGGCUUGAGGUUGGAAGAGGAGAGCAGAAUUCCCGGUGUAGUGGUGGAAUGCGUAGAUAUCGGGAGGAAUACCAGUGGCGAAAGCGGCUCUCUGGUUCAAUACUGACACUGAGAUGCGAAAGCGUGGGGAGCGAACGGG